RNAcentral lists this ribosomal RNA (899 nucleotides) under Thyridium curvatum. RNAcentral's name for it is "LSU rRNA". It matches the Rfam family "Eukaryotic large subunit ribosomal RNA", at positions 36 to 965 of the family's 3401-position model. Lineage: Eukaryota; Fungi; Ascomycota; Sordariomycetes; Thyridiales; Thyridiaceae. The record is from RNAcentral.
AAGCAUAUCAAUAAGCGGAGGAAAAAGAAACCAACAGGGGAUUGCCCUAGUAACGGCGAGUGAAGCGGCAACAGCUCAAAUUUGAAAUCUGGCUUCGGCCCGAGUUGUAAUUUGUAGAGGAUGCUUUUGGUGCGGUGCCUUCUGAGUUCCCUGGAACGGGACGCCUUAGAGGGUGAGAGCCCCGUAAAGUUGGACACCAAGCCUAUGUAAAGCUCCUUCGACGAGUCGAGUAGUUUGGGAAUGCUGCUCAAAAUGGGAGGUAAAUUUCUUCUAAAGCUAAAUACCGGCCAGAGACCGAUAGCGCACAAGUAGAGUGAUCGAAAGAUGAAAAGCACUUUGAAAAGAGGGUUAAAAAGUACGUGAAAUUGUUGAAAGGGAAGCGCUUAUGACCAGACUUGUACCUAGCGGAUCAUCCAGCCUUCUGGCUGGUGCACUUCGCUUGGUUCAGGCCAGCAUCGGUUCCCAGAGGGGGAUAAAAGCUUCAGGGACGUGGCUCCUCCGGGAGCGUUAUAACCUGUUGCAAAAUACCCCUCGGGGGACCGAGGUUCGCGCAUCUGCAAGGAUGCUGGCGUAAUGGUCAUCAGCGACCCGUCUUGAAACACGGACCAAGGAGUCAAGCAUUAGUGCGAGUGUUUGGGUGUAAAACCCGCACGCGUAAUGAAAGUGAACGUAGGUGAGAGCUUCGGCGCAUCAUCGACCGAUCCUGAUGUUCUCGGAUGGAUUUGAGUAGGAGCAUUAACGCUUGGACCCGAAAGAUGGUGAACUAUGCUUGGAUAGGGUGAAGCCAGAGGAAACUCUGGUGGAGGCUCGCAGCGGUUCUGACGUGCAAAUCGAUUCGUCAAAUCUGAGCAUGGGGGCGAAAGACUAAUCGAACCAUCUAGUAGCUGGUUACCGCCGAU